This 1812-nucleotide long non-coding RNA is filed under the name Daucus carota (carrot). RNAcentral's name for it is "long non-coding RNA (DCAR_LNC003175)". Lineage: Eukaryota; Viridiplantae; Streptophyta; Magnoliopsida; Apiales; Apiaceae. The record is from RNAcentral.
AAAACAAACAAUUUAAAGGAUUUUAAUCUAAUCCUAUAUUUAAUCUUUGCAAACAAACAUAAAAUUGAACAAUUUGAAGGUAUAAUCAUGCAAAACAAACAUGGCCCAAGAGAAUAAGCUCGUGUGUUCUGUUAACCAACAGGCCUGAAAUAUAAGACAAAUAGUAUAAGAGAACAUGCUUUAGGGUAGGUAAAAUGAUUAACUUGUCUUGUGUCCCUACCCUGAGUAUCAAGGAGAAAAAAUGACAUAAGAGAAUCACAUAGAAAAAACUAGUAUAACAUGAAGACCAACACUAUAGCCUAAAUCUUAGACAUCUUAGUAGAUUACAAUAUGUUUUUGCAUUCUAUUUUGUUCAACACACACUUAUGUCAAUAUACAUUCCUGCAAUCAACCCUUUUAAAAAGCAGACCAAAUUUUAAAUAACACAAAAUUGAUAGUUUCUAAUUUACUACUCCAAGUGUAAGGUAGUAAUGGAUAAACAGCACCUUAUACCUACAAGUUGUUUAAUGGAAAAAAAAUUCAAGUAGAGGGACAUCUGAGGGGAAAAUUACUGCCUGGGUACUUUUGAAUCAGAAAAACUAAAAUCUAGAAACUUGUAUAUCAAGCGUUAAGUAUCAGGAAGACAAAAUAGAUACUGUCAACAUGAAACUUGUAUACAUAGAAAGACACUGUAGAAACGAGUCAAACAACUAAUUACAUGCUAAUCAUAUCUGAAUAGAAAUUCAAGUACUAGAAAGUGAUUGCCAUAUGGUUAGAUAACAGAUUAUAUGACAUGAAAGAUCAACAAAACAUGAAACUAUAGAAGGUACAGAGACUGCUCAGAGGUUCUCUAACUUUGCCAAAAGGUAACAAAAGCUCUUGAAAUCAAGCUUUAAAGAUAAAACAACCAAAUAAAAAAAACAGUAGACGAGUAAAUGAAAUAAAACUUCCACAAAAAACAACAGUACAAAACUAGGCUACUUAUUUCUCAGCUGAGUUUUGUGCUAAGAGAACGAACUCAUUUUAAGUGUUUCAACUUCGGGAUCAUUCACCAUGAGUACAACAAAAUAAGAUAUGGUGAUACGAAGAAAUAAACCUAAAGAAUUAUCUCAAAUUCCCUAGUUCAUAAUGAGUAAGGAAGCCAAAGUAAUAACACUUUUAGAAAUCAUGAACUAUGUGGAUUCACUUAAUAUCAAGGCCAGAUGUUCAUUAAAUUUUACUAUGCUAGCUCGAUGUCAUUGACACUUCCAGAACAUGGCUAACGGGUAACACAGAAAAACAAAAAAAAAAAACCAGCACAAACUAGACAUAUAUAACUUAGCUAAACAGAUACAAGACAACUAAACACUAUAUUAUAACAUCACUAGAUUCAAACAUAAAGAUGAUGUUGCAGAAACUAAUAUACAAACAAGACAUAGCAGCAAGAUUAAAUUCUGAAUUCAAGUUCUGGUAUCUAACAUUAAUAAUCUAUAUAAACACAAUUUGAGUAAAAACAAUUAUAAUUACAUUACGGCUAAAAUUAAAGGCAGGGUCGAAAAUUCCUUCGGCUCAAAUAACUCUCUGGAAAAUGCGGAAUCAGGUAUCGUUUGAUUGCGAUUUACCAGAGAGAUAUGUGAGCUGAAAGAUUCAACAAAUCAGAUUUUAAUUAAACCCUAAUCCAAUCGGUAGACCAUAAGAUUAGAUAGAGACUCGAUCAUCUACUUCACUGCUAGUAGUUAGAACUAACUGAUCUGUAAAUACUACAAUUACAAGUGAUGAAGAUGAGGAUGGGAGGCUGGAUCUUAGACUUCUGAGAUUUCAGAUUUGGAGAUCGUGUAUGUAUGUGAGUAUUCA